UUGCAUGUAACAGAUUUAUUUUUCCUCACACAGUAAAAAAAUGUCCAAAGGUAGGUGGCGUCUGGAAUUAAUUCAGUCACUCAAAGAUUUAAGGACUGGCAUCCUUGUAAUUUUUUAUUGUUCACUAUCUCAAGAUGGCUUCACUCAAAAUAUUAUGUGUGCAAUUAUUUCUUUUAAAGAUUUAUGGGGUUGGGGAUUUAGCUCAGUAGUAGAGCGCUUGCCUAGCAAGCGCGAGGCCCUGGGUUCAGUCCCCAGCUCCAGAAAAAAAGGAAAAAAAAUUAUUUAUUAUAUAUAAGUACACUGUAGCUGUCUUCAGACAGACCAGAAGAGGGCAUCAGAUCCCAUAACAGAAUAUUGUGAGCCACCAUGUGUUUGCUGGGAAUUGAACUCAGGACCUCUGGAAGAGCAGUUGGUGCUCUUAACCUCUGAGCCAUCUCUCCAGCCCUAUGCAUACAUUUACAACAGAGAGAAUGAAGGAGGCAUCCCCAGCUCACACACAGAAGAAUCUUUCCUGGAAUUAUGGGGCUGUCCCAUUAUGCUUAGUAGCUAGGGUAGCAUUUCAUGGCUACCUGUAAUUGGAAAAUAUCUGAGACUCCAGGGAACCAGUUGACACGGUUGGAUUCAAUUGAUAUUGAUCCUCUUGUGGAUGGGUGCUGGGUGCAUAAUCUUCUAUGAUGAUAUUGGAGCCAUGUUUGAAUGAAGGGAAGCAGAAUGUCAGAUGCUGCCACUAGCACACACACUCCCACAAUGCCAUGUGUCUCCUAAUGUGCCUGCCUUCUGCCUCCUGCCUCAUCUCUGCUAUUGUUAGAGUCUCAGAAGUGAUCUUGUCUUCUGUAUUCCUCUGUUGGGCCUGGAUAGUGGUUUGGCACGUGGUUCUCAGUAAAAAUGGAAGGAUUUCACCAACAGACUAGCAUAUGCCAGGGAGUAUGGCAAGGGAGGGCUAGGAAGUUGAUUAAAGUCUAGUGGGGUUAGGAUGGAAAAGUCAGGUUGAGGUGUUGCCGGCAGGAUAAUAGGCUCCAUGUUUUCAGGGCCCUGAGUUUAAGCUUUCUGACGUGUUUCCUAAUGACGUCCUUUGAAUGUUGUAAGCAAUUUCUUUUCUUGCCCUUUAGGGGUGGGGGAAACAUUUAAAAAAAAAAAACCAAAACUCAUCAAUGAUCCAAUCAAAGAAAUGUCAUUCACAACAAAAUAAACCGAAGAAGAAAUCCCCCAAUGUUGCAAUUGGGCGGAUUUCAACAGCUAAUUUAUAUUUUAGUAUGGGAAUGUAAAUUAAAAGGCUAAACACUUGAAAGCCCCAAAUUAUUCCUGGUCUGACAUUAAAGUCAGGGAAUUGAUCACAUUUGCAGAAUAUAGCUAGUAAAAAGUGCUAAUUUAUGGCUAAGUAAUUAAACAGGCAGACAGAUGGAGAAUCAAAUGAGUUUUCCUCACAUCCCAAUUUGCAUACUGUUCCUGAUGGUGCCUGUUCUCACUUUGGUGGACGGUACCCUCCAGCACUGAAGUACAUGGGGAGAUAUGUAAGUCACUUUCGCUGCCACGUAUUUGGAGAUGCUAAGGGGGAGAUCUGCAGAUCAUAGACGUGGCAAAACAAGUCCUCGGUCAGGGGUCUCUCUCCUGCUCUCAACAUGCUGAUUUCCCUUAUAGGAGAGGCAGGCAAUGGCAGAUAACAAAAUUCUCUCUUCUCCACUGAGUGAUAGAAAGGGCAGUACACCACCUCACCCCAGCUUCUCAGUUGAAUGGCAGCUGACAGCUCUCCCUUUCUCCGUCCUGGUUUCUCCUAAAACAGAGUUCAUGUUGCUUAACUUGCUUCAGGGAAGCAGGGCAGAGCGAUAAAAGCAAGAGUUCUCUUUUUAAUAAUGAAUCAAACACCUAUUGGCUGAGUAACCUUGGAUACAUUAGUUUAACUACCAUGAGCUAAAGUUUCUUAUCAGCAAAAGGGGCAUGCUGGGUAAUUACUCCAUACGAAACCUGGUCUUUAAUAACCACCACUCAAAUGUUGGCACUUAUUAUCUCUAAGAUUCUCCUCUGCAGUAAGAGCCUCCGAGUCUACAAGUUAAAGUACGAAGGAAAGUGACUUAAUUACAGUGAAUGCAGCCCGUUCCUACCUGCGCAAACUGGCAAGUUCUGGAAAUUACUAGCAGAGCUUAUUUAACUUUCCAGAUAGUAUCUGUGCUGGCCUUGACUCCACGGUACCACCAGAAGAAAGACCGUAGUCUCUUCUAGGCUGUGUGCCUAGGUGCUGGGGCAGCCGCUGGCUGUGGCCCCUGGACCAGUAUUGUGCUUAUAUUAUCCUGUAAUAUGGCUGAAAGGGGACUUGCACAGGAAAUGGAGUCUUCUCUGUCUCCUAUGACUUCAAUCCCUUCAGCAGAGAGGAUUGGAAGUGUGUGUCCUUGGGAUUAGCAAGGUGCUUGAGCUCUCACCCAUCCUCACUUACAAGGUGUCACCCUGGGGAGAGAAGCGAUUGUCUUUUGCUGGAUUUUGAACCCUCCUGGAUAGACACUCCCCAUGACCAAGUUCCAGUUGGUCGUACGUCUCAUUUCAUGUCCAUCUGUGUGUGGAAGUCAAUUAUUUGGGGUCAUAACAGAUGAAAAAUAAGACUAAAAGAGAUCCCAGUGUCCAUCACCCCUGGCAACCAGGUGCUGUUUCUUGUGCAUUCUCUUGAAUGUCUCAGUGACGCCGCUGUGCCCCUUCCUGGAGAGUGAGAACCAGUUCUGCACGAGGCGAUGGGAGCUUUACUCUGACUUUCUUAUGUUGAGAUCCGCCCCCGCCUACAACAUAGCUGUCGCCACUUGUUCCAGGCCUGCCAGCUAUUUCAUAUUGUUGCUGUAAUAUGCCUGCCAGUCACUGACACAGGAAAAAACAAAACAAAACUUGAUUCAGAGCAGGGUCAUGCUGACCACACCCUGUUAUGUUCUGAAUGUUCUGAGGUUUGUUAAUCUUUUUUUUUUUUUUUUUUUUGGUUCUAUUUUUCAGAGCUGGGGACCGAACCCAGGGCCUUGUGCUUCCUAGGUAAGCACUCUACCACUGAGCUAAAUCCCCAGCCCCGUUAAUCUUUUCUUUUAAAGAUUUAUUUACUAUAUUUAUAUGAGUGCACUGUAGCUGUUUUCAGAUGAGGGCAUCAGAUCUCAUUACAGAUGGUUGGGAGCCACCAUGUGGUUGCUGGGAAUUGAAUCUCAGGACCUCUGGAAGAGCAGACAGUGCUUUUAACCGUUGAGCCCUCACCCCAGCCCCCAGGUUUGUUAGUCUUAAGAAAUUCCACAAAGCUACACAUAGGGCCCAUCAAGUUAAAGUUCAAUAUGAACUGUUGUUAUGUCUAAAAUGGCUUGAGUUGGAGCUGACCUCUGGGCAACACUUCCUGCACUUGGGUAUGGGUAUGUGGUGUGUGUGUGUGUGUGUGUGUGUGUGUGUGUGUGUGUUUCCUUUAUGAGCUGAAGAAAAGGUGUUCAGGGUCGUAGCCUCAGAUAAUUCUGAGUUAUGGUCCUGAUCAGUCUGUCUUAGGGUGUACAUCCCAUAAACCAAAUCCCUGUCUGGCUGAGAUGGUGUUAAUGUGGUUUGUGGGUGACUCUUGGACCCCAAUACUUACUUUAUUUAUUUAGUGACAGGGUUUCACUAGGUAGUGCAGUCUGGUCUCAAACUCACAAAAAGAUCUGAUACCUGCUCUGCCCUUCUGCCUCCAGAGUGCCAGUAUUAAAUAGGUGUGUGCACCACGCCUGCUCCCCUACUUAAAUCUCAAGCAAAAUAACAUGAGAGGGAAUACCAGUUCUCCUAGUCAAUGUCCUAUUUCUCUAAAGGGACACCACGACCACGGCAAGUCUCAUAAAGGAAACAUUUAGUGGGGGCUGGCUUACAGGGUUCAGAGAUUUAGUGCAUAUCAUCAUGGUGGGAAGUGUGGGGAUACAGGCAGACAUGGUACGGAGAAGGAGCCAAGAGUUCUACCUCUGGAUCAGCAGGCAGCAGGAAGAGAGUGGCACUGGGCCUGGCUUGAGCAUUUGAAACCUCAAAGCCCACCUCCAAUGACACACCUCCUCCAACAAGGCCACACCUCCUCCAACAAGGCCACACCUCCUCCAACAAGGCCACACCUCCUCCAACAAGGCCACACCUUCUCCAACAAGGCCACACCUCCUCCAACAAGGCCAUACCUCCUCCCAGGCCACACCUCCUCAACAAGGCCACACCUCCUCCAACAAGGCCACACCUCCUCCAACAAGGCCACACCUACUCCAACAAGGUUACAGUUCCUAUUCUAGUCCCUAAGCAUUCAAAGACGAGUCUGUGGGGGCCAUUCCUAUUCAAGACGCCGCACUGGAUUUUUUCCACUCGUGCCUCCGUCCAUUCAUCCUUGGUGCCCAGGAAGGUUAUUGUUAUGAUCGAAGGGAUGGACGCAACAGAGUCACGACAGAUCUCACGUGGGAGUUUUAUUGAGGAGAGGGGUAUACAGGGACUGCCUCUGGGUGAGGGUGGAGGGGAAAGAGAGUGGGGAGAGGAGGGAUUUGCCUUUUAAAAGGGCUGUAGCGCAUGCGCAAGGAGAGGAUACACGACUACCCCGGCAACAGCAGCAGUAAUGUGUCACAUCUUGGCAGCUACUGAUGAUGUCUGCUGUUGCUGGGUCCCUGGGCAGGCAUGGAGAUGCCUUAUUGCAGAAGUAGAUGGCCUUCAUUGCUGUUUUGCCUUGGGUUUGGCCAGAGGAAGGCACUGGCAGUAGAACAGAGGGUAGAAGGUUGAACUUUGGGGAUUUCUUGUGUUUCCUCUUUGUUACGUGGCUUGAGUUUUCUCUCUACCAAUGCCUUGUUUCCAUUGGGCUGUCAAAGGAAUGAGUAAGCUCCUUUCCACUUAGUGCUACCACAGCAUCACUGUUACCCUGUAUCAUUGCUAUUUGAAAAUAAAAACACCAGGGUUAAUAUGAACUGAAAAUUCUCUGGAAGAAAAAAAAAAGAGCUUAAAAAAAAAAAAAACCACUUCGAAAGCAGCUGAUUUAAAAAUAAUAAAAUCAGGGCCUCAACAUAGGACGUGCCUCAGAACCAAACCAUCCAAACCAAUCAAACCAAACGGAGUAUGAUCCUGGGAAGAGAGUGGUGGCGGGAUGGAGUAGAUACCCACAGGUUGCCCUUUGUCCUCUCCAUGCACUCUAUGGCAUGUAGGUGCCCGUGCACAUACACAUGCAUGUGCAAAAAACUAAAGAUGUAAUAAAAAUUCAUAAAAGUAAAAUUAAUUUAUGGCCUUACCCUUUUAUUGACAUUUUUAUAUCUCUAAAAGUGUUUUCAAGUUUAUUCCUUAAUUUCUUUUUCUAAUUAUUUUUUUUAAAGAAUACUUCAUUUAAUUUUGACAGUUUUGUGACUCUGUCACAUUUUCUCCUCUAAUAGACCCUAACACCAUUGCGCUGUGCUCAGAAAGCAAACUUUUUUUUUUGGUUCUUUUUUUUCGGAGCUGGGGACCGAACCCAGGGCCUUGCGCUUCCUAGGCAAGCGCUCUACCACUGAGCUAAAUCCCCAACCCCAGAAAGCAAACUUCUAAAGAUGAGAUUGAUGGUCUGGUGCAACGCCCUUCCUGGAGAAGUUCCUCAUGUGCUCCAGAUGCCUGGGCAUUUUUCUCCUGUGGUUGGAGAGCUCUGAGUGUGUUACCGUUAUUAUAGGCUUUUAAGGAUUCCUUUUCACUUCCAAUUGUUCAAACCUCCUGAAGAUCUGAUGGCUGUUUCACCUAUUACUGAAAGUGGAAUUUGAGCUCUUCAAAAUUAUUGAUAAUUAGUGUAUUUUCCCUUUAUACCUGUUCUCUUCCCCUCUUCAUUCUUUGCUUCCUGUAGUUUAGGGCUCUGUAGUGGGAUGUGCAUGUGUUUAUAACUUCGUUUUUGGAUGAGUUGUUGUAAACCUUCUCCUGGCCUCUAGAGUUCUGAGGUAGUGGGUUCUGUUAAGUUGUGCUGAUUUCUUGCUACUUUUAUGGAGGGCUACCCUUCUGGAGGCCCUUACUCCCGCUGUCCUGCCCUGCUGGCCUCUUUCUAAUGAGACCAAGGUCCUUGGAACUUUCAAAGAAUGAUAUUGUACUCACUGUGCAUUCUUAGAAACACCUCUUCCGGGCCUGGAGAGGGAGCCCAGUGGUUAAGGGCACUGGCUGCUUUUGCAGAGAGGAUUGGUCCCCAGCACUGAUGUUGGUGACUCCUAAACACUGGUAACUCUAGGUUCUCGGGAUCCGACCUCCUCUUCUGAACUGUGGGCACCAGCAUACACACGCUGGCAAACACUCAAACAUGUACAAUAAAAUCUUAAAAAAAUAAAAAAAAUGGUUUCCCCUCGGACCAUCGCUUUUAUUUAAAGUCUGAAAACAAUUAGAAAAGACUGGGCUGAACUAAACUUGACCCUAUUAACAGCUACCAAACUGAUCACAUUCACAGGAACAUAAGAGGCGAGGUACGGUCUAGAGAACGCAUCUAAUUUGCAGAUUUUAUUUUAGCGUUGCUGGAGAAGUUAAUCCGGUGAAUCUAUGUUAAGUGUUCGCUCUCCUGACCGUCUUGAUAGCUGGGGUGCUAUUUCUUGAUCUGCAUCUCACAGUCAUCAGCAUUAAAAAUAAGAGGCUACGCACAGGGCCGAAGAGAAGGCUCCACAGUUAAGAACAUACACCACUCUGGCAGAGGACCCAAGUUCACUUCCCACAACUGCCAUGUUAAGCAUCUCACAACUGCCUGUAACUGCAGUUCCAGGGGACCUGGCACUUUUCUCUGGGCGUUUGCAUAAGUGCACUCCUAUAGGAACCACAGCCCACUCCUGGGCUCAAAAUUUAAAAUAAUCCUAUUCUAUGAGCGGCUGCCUCUUCCUCAGAAUGACUCUGAUCAUGUCCCUCUCAAUAGAGAGACACUUGAUGGGGAUUUGCCCACUGUGUAAAGAUUUCAUCCAAGGAGAGGCUCACUUUGAUUUUUGUCCAAGCCUGCUGACAUCCUACAAAGGUUAGCAGCAAAACUGUGGAAAAUAAUUAAUGAUUAAAACAGUAAACAAGCAAAAGGGCAUAAGAAAGGAAAUCCCACGGAACCCAAGAUGUGAAGGGUAAAGCAGAGUGCUGGAAACCAACGUGUGCUGAAAUAGCAAUGUUAACUCCUUCACGAACCACUAGUAGGAAAAGAGUAGCUAAGUUACUGUACUCGUUAGUUACACUUUCUUUUAAUUAUUGGCCAGCCAUUCCAAAUUUCAUUUGUACUUUGCUCCGUCCCAGAUACACCGUGCCACAGGUGCAUCCUGGGCCUUUGGUCAUAUCAUCACUUCUUGAGAUGUCAUUUACUUUCUUAGAUUGUAUGGGCUACAUAGUGUAGCCUAAGACUGGAGUAGAGCUCAGUGGUGGGGCGCUUGCCCAGUGCACAAAGCCUGGAGUUCCAUCCCCAGUUGUGUGUGUGUGUGUGUGUGUGUGUGUGUGUGUGUUCAUAUGUGUGCAUCUCUCUCUCUCUCUCUCUGCGUGUGUGUGUGUGUGUGUGUGUGUGUAUGUGUGUGUAUGUCUUAGGGUUUCUAUUGCUGUGAUGAACCACCAUGACCAAAAAGCAUGCUGGGGAGAAAAGGGUUUAUUUGGCUUACACUUCCACAUCACUGCUCAUCACUGAAGGAAGUUGGGGUGGGAACCUGGAGGCAGGAGCUGAUGCAGAGGCCAGGGAGGGGUGUUACUGCCUUGCUUCCUAUGCUGGUUCAGCCUGCUUUCUUAUACAACCCAGAACCAGCAGUCCAGGGAUGGUAUCACCUACAAAGGGCUGGGCCAUUCCAGACCAAUCAUCAAUUAAGAAAAUGCUCUACCAUUUGCUUACAGCCUGGUCUUAUGAGGACAUUUUCUUAAUUGAGAUUUUCCUCUUCUCAGAUGACUUCAGCUUUUGUGACAUUAACACAAAACUAUCCAGCAUGGUGUAUGUAUGUGUGUAUGUGUGUGUAUAUAUGUAUGUAUGUAUGUAUGUGUGUACAUGUAUGUAUGCAUGUAACUGUGUUUACAUAUAUGUAGGGAUGUAUGUGUGUGAACGUAUGCUUGCAUAUGUGCUUAUAUGCAUGUAUAUAUGUAAGCACGUACACGGGUCUAUGGUCUAUGCCAGUUAUUUCUUCUUCUCUAAGAACACCAAGCACAGCCUCUUGUCCUAAAUAGUUAUUUAAAAAAAUUUUGUCUUACAUUUGGGGAUUUAAACAUUAAGAACAAGAAAGAACAAAAAAGACUUAUAGGCAAAAUAGGGUCAGAAGCAAUUUAAGUAGAACCUUAUGGCUGUGUGUUAAAAUGGUAGGACAGCAAACCUAAGAAUAAAAGAUAAAAACAAAACAAAAACAACUGAAGACAUGCUUCAGGAGCCAAGGUUGUUUACUUCCGAAGGGUGUUCUUGUAAAGGGCUGGGGGAACAGCUCAGUGGGCCAAGUGCUUGUCUCUCAAGUACCUCAGUUUGACCGCCAGGACCCCGAGGAUGACACUGGAGGUUGUCCUCUGGCCUCCAUGUGUACCGCUCCACAUGUAUGCACACACUGGUACACAUAAAUAAAAGAGGGACACAGAAGCCUCCUCCUUAGCUCCUCGCUGUGUGGAUGAGUGGACAGGUCUGCCAGUUAGACCGAAGGCUUUUGUUUCAUCUUGAAAGACCCCAGCUUAGCAGCAGUAACGCCAUUUUACAAGGCUGUACUUAAGAUGACUGGUUCAGAGAAAGGUUAAAACACUGAGUACAAAACAGCUGCCAAGCAGGAUGUGUUUGGUUGAAGGCCUGGCAACAGGACGACUGCGGUUGAGCACCUGACAAUGAAAAAAGCCCCGGGAGAGGUCCCACACCCUGGUGGGGGGCCGAGUCAGUAGUUAUGUUCCAAGAAGGUAGCUAGGAAACUUGCCCCCGGGCUGAACCCUUGGGGGGCCGAGUCAGCCGUUAUGUUUCAGGAAGGUAGCUAGGAAACUUGCCCCCGGGCUAAACCCUUGCCAUAUUAGAAUCCACCAAUUAUAUCCCUGUAACCAUGCAUCUGCUUCUGUAUGCUUGCUUCUGCUCCCCAAAAUCCUAUAAAAGCCCAUCCUUGGUUCUGUGGGGCGCGCCAGUCCCCCGAGUGACUGAAGCGCCCGCAGGUGCCUGUGCCUGUGUAUCCCAACAAUAAACCAAAUCCUCUUGCUGAUUGCAUCCUGUGGUGUCUCGGUCUGGUCUUUGGAGUUAGAGGGUCUCCAUCCCGAGGGAAAGUUCUCCCUGAGAGCUUUUCAUUUGGUGCGUUGGCCGGGAAAGGAGAUCCUCCACCCAGGGACCACCGACCACCCACUGGGAGGUAAGCCGGCCGGCAUCUGUCUGUCUGUCUGAUUUUGUCUCGUUCUGUCUUAUUCUGUCUGUUCUGUGAGCGCUCAGCCAGGUUCUGUGAGCGCUCAGCCAGGUCUGUUCUGUGAGCGCUCAGCCAGGUCUAUUCUGUGAGUGCUCAGCCAGGUCUGUUCUGUGAGUGCUCAGCCAGGUUCUGUGAGCGCUCAGCCAGGUCUGUUCUGUGAGCGCUCAGCCAGGUUGUUUGGAAUUUGGGCGGGACGAAGAAGGAGCUGACGAGCUCGGACUUCUCGCCCCGCAGCCCUGGAAGACGUUCCAAGGGUGUUAGGGGCCCGACUUUUCGGGGCCCAAUCUGGGAGAGGAGAAAGAUCCGGACUAACGGCACCUCUGUCUGUAUUUUUGGCUUUCAGAGGGCCCCGGACCUUUGCCACCUCCAUCUGACUUUUUGCUUUCAGUUUGGUACCAAAGCCGUGCAGCACGCCUGUCUGUUGUUUGUUUGACUGUUGGUGUUGUUUGUUUUCUCUGUGUUCUAAUCUUCCUUAGAACUAACAUGGGACAGUCCCUAACAACGCCCCUAAGUCUCACUCUUGAUCAUUAGAAAGACGUCCACGACCAGGCACACAACCAGUCCGUCGAGGUUAAAAAAAAAAAAGAGGAAAAUGAGACUCUCUACACAUCCGAGUGGCCCACUUUCAGAGCAGGAUGGCCAGUGAAUGACACAUUUAAUAAGAUCAUUAUUUUACAGGUUAAAGAUCGGGUCGUCCACGGACAUCCUGACCAGGUUUCUUAUAUUAUCACUUGAGAGAGUCUUGCCUUAACCCCCCCCCAGGCGGAACCCUUCAUGGACCCGAAUUGGCCUCCCCUCAACCCCCAGCCUGUCCCCUCGGCCCCGCCCGGUCCGCCGGCCAUGUCUUUCUCUCUCUACCUUUGUGAACUAAGAAACCUGUCCUCCCGGCAGACCCAAACUCCCCUCUCAUAGAUCUUCUCUCUGACAGGCCCGGCUGAAACGGAGGAGGCAGAGCCGCCGGCCAGAUCAGUUGCCGGGCCACAGUCUGAUAAGGGUUUCUCCCCUGUCGCAGGGAGAUUGCGCAAUAAGCGCGAGGUGAUGCCAGAUUCAACCUCCCAGGUUUUCCCACUUAGACAGGGAACCGGUGGCCAGACCCAAUACUGGCCGUUUUAAACAACACAACCCUUCUUUCUCCAAAGAUCCGGUGACACUCACCGACCUAAUAGAAUCUGUUUUACUUACCCACCAGCCUACUUGGGAUGACUGCUCCAAAGAUCCGGUGGCACUCACCGACCUAAUAGAAUCUGUUUUACUUACUCACCAGCCUACUUGGGAUGACUGCCAACAGCUCUUACAGGCCCUCUUAACCUCAGAAGAAAAACAAAGAGUGUUCCUAGAGGCCAGAAAGCAUGUUCUGGGAGAUGAUGGGCGUCCCACCCAGCUGCCUGAGGAAAUUGAUGCUGCAUUCCCACUUAAGAGACCAAACUGAGAUUUUAAUACAGCUGAAGGUAAGGGACACCUACGCCUUUAUCGCCAGUUGCUUCUAGCGGGUCUCCGAGGGGCUAUACGACGCCCUACUAAUUUGGCUCAGGUAAAACAGGUAUUACAGGAAGCAGGAGAAACUCCCUCCGCCUUUCUAGAGAGAUUUAAGGAGGCCUACCGUAUGUACACUCCCUAUGACCCAGAUGACCCAGGACAAAUGACGAGUGUCUCUAUGUCCUUCAUCUGGCAGGCUGCUCCAGAUAUCAGGACUAAGUUACAGAGGUUAGAAAAUUUGCAGGGCUAUACAUUACAGGAUUUACUUAAAGAAGCUGAAAAGAUUUUUAAUAAGAGAGAGAAUUGAGUCGAAUCUUGGCCGCCGUAGUUCAGGGCCAAGAAAGGAAGGGAGAUAGGGGGGAGCUCGAAAGGGGCUGAAGCUGGAUAAAGAUCAAUGUGCCUAUUACAAAGAGAAAGGGCACUGGGCUAGAGAGUGCCCCAAGAAGCCUGGCGGACCCCGAAAGCCUCGACCACGAACCUCCCUCUUGGCUCUAGAUAAAGAUUAGGGAGGUCAGGGCCAGGAGCCCCCCCCCCCCCUGAGCCCAGGGUAACGCUUAAAGUUGGGGGGCAGCCGGUUACUUUCCUGAUAGACACAGGAGCCCAGCAUUCAGUCCUCACUCAAGCUUCAGGACAACUCAGCGACCGGACGGCCUGGGUACAAAGAGCUACUGGUGAGAAACAAUACCGAUGGACUACGGACCGCCGGGUUCAGCUGGCUACUGGUAAGGUGACCCAUUCCUUCUUACAUGUUCCGGACUGCCCGUACCCCCUGCUGGGCCGUGACCUGCUCACCAAACUAAAAGCACAAAUUCAUUUUGAGGAAGGAGGGGCCCAAAUAACUGGCCCCCACGGAACUCCCCUUCAAGUUCUAACCCUACAACUAGAGGAUGAAUAUAGACUAUAUGAACCGGGACAGGACAAGCCACAAUCCCUAGAAAUAAACACUUGGGUCACGAAUUUUCCACUGGCUUGGGCAGAGACUGGUGGGAUGGGGUUGGCGCUCCAACAGCCCCCCUUAAUUAUACAGUUAAAGGCCACUACAACUCCAGUCUCCAUAAAACAAUACCCCCUGUCACAUAAAGCUUAUAAGGCCUCACAUUACGAGGCUUCUAGAUCAAGGCAUCCUAGUCCCCUGCCGGUCGCCUUGGAAUACGCCUCUUCUGCCUGUUAAGAAACCCGGCACUGGAGAUUAUAGGCCAAUACAAGACUUGAGAAAGGUCAACAAGAGGAUAAAAGAUAUUCAUCCGACUGUUCCAAACCCUUACAAUUUGCUCAGUAACUGUUCACUGGAUGCAGAACAGGUUCAGUUUGGACCCGUAGUCGCCCUCAAUCCUGCCACCUUGCUUCCUCUACCAGAGGAGACAAAACAGCAUGACUGCCUACAAAUCCUCGCAGAAGUACAUGGAACCAGGCCGGACCUAUCGGACCAGCCUCUUCAGAAUGCUGACCACACAUGGUACACGGAUGACAACAGCUUCUUGGCAGAGGGAGAGCGAAAGGCUGGAGCUGCGGUCACUACGGAGGACAAAGUGAUUUGGGCGAAAGCCCUGCCUGCUGGUACCUCCGCACAACGGGCUGAACUCAUCGCCUUGACUCAGGCGCUCAAGAUGGCAAAAGGUAAGAGGCUAAAUGUAUAUACAGACAGCCGUUAUGCCUUUGCCACGGCACACAUCCACGGGGAGAUCUACCGGAGGCGGGGGCUGCUCACAUCUGAGGGUAAAGAUAUGGCUAAAAUUCUGGCCCUCUUAGAAGCCCUAUUCUUGCCCAAAAGACUGAGUACAUUGUCCAGGACACCAGAAAGGGCACAACCCAGAGGCACGAAGAAACCGGCUGGCCGAUGCCACGGCGCGAAAAGCGGCCAUGAGCAAACAAAUCUUGUCCUUAAAUAGCCCAGACCAACCCACGCCCCCACCAGUGGGACAAACCAGUUGGGUUUACGCCCAUGAGGACAUAGAGCUCCUAAAAAAAAAUGGGGGCCAUCUACCACCCUCAACUAAAACAGUGGGUCUACAAAGGACUUUUGAAUUGAUCUCCUUUUUACAUAAAUUAACCCAAUUGGGGUUUAAGAAGAUGAAAACCUUACUAGAUCGGGAAGAGAUAAAUCUGUGUUUUUUGAAUCGGGACAAAGCGAUACAAAAGGUGACUGAGAGUUGCAAAGUGUGCGCUCAGGUUAACCCGGGAAGGACCAGGAUUGGACAAGGAGUUCGUCCUAGGGGACACCGUCCCGACAUCCAUUGGGAAAUUGAUUUUACUGAAAUUAAACCAGGUAUAUAUGGAUACAAGUAUCUCCUAGUGUUUGUAGACACCUUCUCAGGAUGGGUCGAAGCCUUCCCCACAAAGCACGAGACUACAAAAAUCCUCCAAGAAGCUCCUCGAGGAAAUCUUUCCCAGGUAUGACAUGCCUCAAGCGUUGGGGUCAGACAACGGGCCCGCUUUCGUCUCCCAAGUAAGUCAGUUGGUGGCCAAAUUGCUGGGGAUUGAUUGGAAAUUACAUUGUGCCUAUAGACCCCAGAGUUCAGGUCAGGUAGAACGCAUGAAUAGAACAAUUAAGGAGACUUUCUCCAAACUUAUGCUUGCAACUGGCUCAAAGGAUUGGGUGGCCCUCCUUCCCCUAGUUCUAUAUCGGGCCCGGAAUACCCCGGGCCCCCAUGGUCUAACUUCUUUUGAAAUAAUAUAUAGAGCACCACCCCCAUUUGUCCAUUUCUUUGAUUCAAACAUUGCUGAUUUUGCUGACAGCCCUUCUCUGAGGGCCCAUUUACAGGCCCUACAGAUUGUACAGAGAGACGUCUGGAGACCUUUGGCCGCUGCUUACCAGGACAAGCUUGAACAUCCGGUGGUGCCACACCCGUUCCAGAUUAGAGACACCGUGUGGGUGCACAGACACCAGACCAAGAAUCUCGAGCCACGGUGGAAAGGACCCUACACCGUCCUCCUGACUACCCCGACCGCCCUAAAGGUAGACGGAGUCUCGGCUUAGAUCCACACACCACACGUCAAGGCAGUCCGGUCUGAGGAAUUGACUAAUCACAACACUACACCCCAGACAUGGAGAGUUCAGCGCACUCCAAACCCCUUAAAGUUAAAACUCCUACGUGGCUCCUCCUAGUCCUUUUGUGGCCUAGAGUCAGUGGGGGAAUAAGCCCCCACUAGACAGAAAUUUCUUGACCAAGUCGAGUGAAAGAUUUCACUCAAAGUUAGCAAAAAAAAAAAAAAUGGGGGAAUGAAAGACCCCAGCUUAGCAGCAGUAACGCCAUUUUACAAGGCUGUACUUAAGAUGACUGGUUCAGAGAAAGGUUAAAACACUGAGUACAAAACAGCUGCCAAGCAGGAUGUGUUUGGUUGAAGGCCUGGCAACAGGACGACUGCGGUUGAGCACCUGACAAUGAAAAAAGCCCCGGGAGAGGUCCCACACCCUGGUGGGGGGCCGAGUCAGUAGUUAUGUUCCAAGAAGGUAGCUAGGAAACUUGCCCCCGGGCUGAACCCUUGGGGGGCCGAGUCAGCCGUUAUGUUUCAGGAAGGUAGCUAGGAAACUUGCCCCCGGGCUAAACCCUUGCCAUAUUAGAAUCCACCAAUUAUAUCCCUGUAACCAUGCAUCUGCUUCUGUAUGCUUGCUUCUGCUCCCCAAAAUCCUAUAAAAGCCCAUCCUUGGUUCUGUGGGGCGCGCCAGUCCCCCGAGUGACUGAAGCGCCCGCAGGUGCCUGUGCCUGUGUAUCCCAACAAUAAACCAAAUCCUCUUGCUGAUUGCAUCCUGUGGUGUCUCGGUCUGGUCUUUGGAGUUAGAGGGUCUCCAUCCCGAGGGAAAGUUCUCCCUGAGAGCUUUUCAUUUGGUGCGUUGGCCGGGAAAGGAGAUCCUCCACCCAGGGACCACCGACCACCCACUGGGAGGUAAGCCGGCCGGCAUCUGUCUGUCUGUCUGAUUUUGUCUCGUUCUGUCUUAUUCUGUCUGUUCUGUGAGCGCUCAGCCAGGUUCUGUGAGCGCUCAGCCAGGUCUGUUCUGUGAGCGCUCAGCCAGGUCUAUUCUGUGAGUGCUCAGCCAGGUCUGUUCUGUGAGUGCUCAGCCAGGUUCUGUGAGCGCUCAGCCAGGUCUGUUCUGUGAGCGCUCAGCCAGGUUGUUUGGAAUUUGGGCGGGACGAAGAAGGAGCUGACGAGCUCGGACUUCUCGCCCCGCAGCCCUGGAAGACGUUCCAAGGGUGUUAGGGGCCCGACUUUUCGGGGCCCAAUCUGGGAGAGGAGAAAGAUCCGGACUAACGGCACCUCUGUCUGUAUUUUUGGCUUUCAGAGGGCCCCGGACCUUUGCCACCUCCAUCUGACUUUUUGCUUUCAGUUUGGUACCAAAGCCGUGCAGCACGCCUGUCUGUUGUUUGUUUGACUGUUGGUGUUGUUUGUUUUCUCUGUGUUCUAAUCUUCCUUAGAACUAACAUGGGACAGUCCCUAACAACGCCCCUAAGUCUCACUCUUGAUCAUUAGAAAGACGUCCACGACCAGGCACACAACCAGUCCGUCGAGGUUAAAAAAAAAAAAGAGGAAAAUGAGACUCUCUACACAUCCGAGUGGCCCACUUUCAGAGCAGGAUGGCCAGUGAAUGACACAUUUAAUAAGAUCAUUAUUUUACAGGUUAAAGAUCGGGUCGUCCACGGACAUCCUGACCAGGUUUCUUAUAUUAUCACUUGAGAGAGUCUUGCCUUAACCCCCCCCCAGGCGGAACCCUUCAUGGACCCGAAUUGGCCUCCCCUCAACCCCCAGCCUGUCCCCUCGGCCCCGCCCGGUCCGCCGGCCAUGUCUUUCUCUCUCUACCUUUGUGAACUAAGAAACCUGUCCUCCCGGCAGACCCAAACUCCCCUCUCAUAGAUCUUCUCUCUGACAGGCCCGGCUGAAACGGAGGAGGCAGAGCCGCCGGCCAGAUCAGUUGCCGGGCCACAGUCUGAUAAGGGUUUCUCCCCUGUCGCAGGGAGAUUGCGCAAUAAGCGCGAGGUGAUGCCAGAUUCAACCUCCCAGGUUUUCCCACUUAGACAGGGAACCGGUGGCCAGACCCAAUACUGGCCGUUUUAAACAACACAACCCUUCUUUCUCCAAAGAUCCGGUGACACUCACCGACCUAAUAGAAUCUGUUUUACUUACCCACCAGCCUACUUGGGAUGACUGCUCCAAAGAUCCGGUGGCACUCACCGACCUAAUAGAAUCUGUUUUACUUACUCACCAGCCUACUUGGGAUGACUGCCAACAGCUCUUACAGGCCCUCUUAACCUCAGAAGAAAAACAAAGAGUGUUCCUAGAGGCCAGAAAGCAUGUUCUGGGAGAUGAUGGGCGUCCCACCCAGCUGCCUGAGGAAAUUGAUGCUGCAUUCCCACUUAAGAGACCAAACUGAGAUUUUAAUACAGCUGAAGGUAAGGGACACCUACGCCUUUAUCGCCAGUUGCUUCUAGCGGGUCUCCGAGGGGCUAUACGACGCCCUACUAAUUUGGCUCAGGUAAAACAGGUAUUACAGGAAGCAGGAGAAACUCCCUCCGCCUUUCUAGAGAGAUUUAAGGAGGCCUACCGUAUGUACACUCCCUAUGACCCAGAUGACCCAGGACAAAUGACGAGUGUCUCUAUGUCCUUCAUCUGGCAGGCUGCUCCAGAUAUCAGGACUAAGUUACAGAGGUUAGAAAAUUUGCAGGGCUAUACAUUACAGGAUUUACUUAAAGAAGCUGAAAAGAUUUUUAAUAAGAGAGAGAAUUGAGUCGAAUCUUGGCCGCCGUAGUUCAGGGCCAAGAAAGGAAGGGAGAUAGGGGGGAGCUCGAAAGGGGCUGAAGCUGGAUAAAGAUCAAUGUGCCUAUUACAAAGAGAAAGGGCACUGGGCUAGAGAGUGCCCCAAGAAGCCUGGCGGACCCCGAAAGCCUCGACCACGAACCUCCCUCUUGGCUCUAGAUAAAGAUUAGGGAGGUCAGGGCCAGGAGCCCCCCCCCCCCCUGAGCCCAGGGUAACGCUUAAAGUUGGGGGGCAGCCGGUUACUUUCCUGAUAGACACAGGAGCCCAGCAUUCAGUCCUCACUCAAGCUUCAGGACAACUCAGCGACCGGACGGCCUGGGUACAAAGAGCUACUGGUGAGAAACAAUACCGAUGGACUACGGACCGCCGGGUUCAGCUGGCUACUGGUAAGGUGACCCAUUCCUUCUUACAUGUUCCGGACUGCCCGUACCCCCUGCUGGGCCGUGACCUGCUCACCAAACUAAAAGCACAAAUUCAUUUUGAGGAAGGAGGGGCCCAAAUAACUGGCCCCCACGGAACUCCCCUUCAAGUUCUAACCCUACAACUAGAGGAUGAAUAUAGACUAUAUGAACCGGGACAGGACAAGCCACAAUCCCUAGAAAUAAACACUUGGGUCACGAAUUUUCCACUGGCUUGGGCAGAGACUGGUGGGAUGGGGUUGGCGCUCCAACAGCCCCCCUUAAUUAUACAGUUAAAGGCCACUACAACUCCAGUCUCCAUAAAACAAUACCCCCUGUCACAUAAAGCUUAUAAGGCCUCACAUUACGAGGCUUCUAGAUCAAGGCAUCCUAGUCCCCUGCCGGUCGCCUUGGAAUACGCCUCUUCUGCCUGUUAAGAAACCCGGCACUGGAGAUUAUAGGCCAAUACAAGACUUGAGAAAGGUCAACAAGAGGAUAAAAGAUAUUCAUCCGACUGUUCCAAACCCUUACAAUUUGCUCAGUAACUGUUCACUGGAUGCAGAACAGGUUCAGUUUGGACCCGUAGUCGCCCUCAAUCCUGCCACCUUGCUUCCUCUACCAGAGGAGACAAAACAGCAUGACUGCCUACAAAUCCUCGCAGAAGUACAUGGAACCAGGCCGGACCUAUCGGACCAGCCUCUUCAGAAUGCUGACCACACAUGGUACACGGAUGACAACAGCUUCUUGGCAGAGGGAGAGCGAAAGGCUGGAGCUGCGGUCACUACGGAGGACAAAGUGAUUUGGGCGAAAGCCCUGCCUGCUGGUACCUCCGCACAACGGGCUGAACUCAUCGCCUUGACUCAGGCGCUCAAGAUGGCAAAAGGUAAGAGGCUAAAUGUAUAUACAGACAGCCGUUAUGCCUUUGCCACGGCACACAUCCACGGGGAGAUCUACCGGAGGCGGGGGCUGCUCACAUCUGAGGGUAAAGAUAUGGCUAAAAUUCUGGCCCUCUUAGAAGCCCUAUUCUUGCCCAAAAGACUGAGUACAUUGUCCAGGACACCAGAAAGGGCACAACCCAGAGGCACGAAGAAACCGGCUGGCCGAUGCCACGGCGCGAAAAGCGGCCAUGAGCAAACAAAUCUUGUCCUUAAAUAGCCCAGACCAACCCACGCCCCCACCAGUGGGACAAACCAGUUGGGUUUACGCCCAUGAGGACAUAGAGCUCCUAAAAAAAAAUGGGGGCCAUCUACCACCCUCAACUAAAACAGUGGGUCUACAAAGGACUUUUGAAUUGAUCUCCUUUUUACAUAAAUUAACCCAAUUGGGGUUUAAGAAGAUGAAAACCUUACUAGAUCGGGAAGAGAUAAAUCUGUGUUUUUUGAAUCGGGACAAAGCGAUACAAAAGGUGACUGAGAGUUGCAAAGUGUGCGCUCAGGUUAACCCGGGAAGGACCAGGAUUGGACAAGGAGUUCGUCCUAGGGGACACCGUCCCGACAUCCAUUGGGAAAUUGAUUUUACUGAAAUUAAACCAGGUAUAUAUGGAUACAAGUAUCUCCUAGUGUUUGUAGACACCUUCUCAGGAUGGGUCGAAGCCUUCCCCACAAAGCACGAGACUACAAAAAUCCUCCAAGAAGCUCCUCGAGGAAAUCUUUCCCAGCCCUUCUCUGAGGGCCCAUUUACAGGCCCUACAGAUUGUACAGAGAGACGUCUGGAGACCUUUGGCCGCUGCUUACCAGGACAAGCUUGAACAUCCGGUGGUGCCACACCCGUUCCAGAUUAGAGACACCGUGUGGGUGCACAGACACCAGACCAAGAAUCUCGAGCCACGGUGGAAAGGACCCUACACCGUCCUCCUGACUACCCCGACCGCCCUAAAGCCUACUUGGGAUGACUGCCAACAGCUCUUACAGGCCCUCUUAACCUCAGAAGAAAAACAAAGAGUGUUCCUAGAGGCCAGAAAGCAUGUUCUGGGAGAUGAUGGGCGUCCCACCCAGCUGCCUGAGGAAAUUGAUGCUGCAUUCCCACUUAAGAGACCAAACUGAGAUUUUAAUACAGCUGAAGGUAAGGGACACCUACGCCUUUAUCGCCAGUUGCUUCUAGCGGGUCUCCGAGGGGCUAUACGACGCCCUACUAAUUUGGCUCAGGUAAAACAGGUAUUACAGGAAGCAGGAGAAACUCCCUCCGCCUUUCUAGAGAGAUUUAAGGAGGCCUACCGUAUGUACACUCCCUAUGACCCAGAUGACCCAGGACAAAUGACGAGUGUCUCUAUGUCCUUCAUCUGGCAGGCUGCUCCAGAUAUCAGGACUAAGUUACAGAGGUUAGAAAAUUUGCAGGGCUAUACAUUACAGGAUUUACUUAAAGAAGCUGAAAAGAUUUUUAAUAAGAGAGAGAAUUGAGUCGAAUCUUGGCCGCCGUAGUUCAGGGCCAAGAAAGGAAGGGAGAUAGGGGGGAGCUCGAAAGGGGCUGAAGCUGGAUAAAGAUCAAUGUGCCUAUUACAAAGAGAAAGGGCACUGGGCUAGAGAGUGCCCCAAGAAGCCUGGCGGACCCCGAAAGCCUCGACCACGAACCUCCCUCUUGGCUCUAGAUAAAGAUUAGGGAGGUCAGGGCCAGGACCCCCCCCCCCCCUGAGCCCAGGGUAACGCUUAAAGUUGGGGGGCAGCCGGUUACUUUCCUGAUAGACACAGGAGCCCAGCAUUCAGUCCUCACUCAAGCUUCAGGACAACUCAGCGACCGGACGGCCUGGGUACAAAGAGCUACUGGUGAGAAACAAUACCGAUGGACUACGGACCGCCGGGUUCAGCUGGCUACUGGUAAGGUGACCCAUUCCUUCUUACAUGUUCCGGACUGCCCGUACCCCCUGCUGGGCCGUGACCUGCUCACCAAACUAAAAGCACAAAUUCAUUUUGAGGAAGGAGGGGCCCAAAUAACUGGCCCCCACGGAACUCCCCUUCAAGUUCUAACCCUACAACUAGAGGAUGAAUAUAGACUAUAUGAACCGGGACAGGACAAGCCACAAUCCCUAGAAAUAAACACUUGGGUCACGAAUUUUCCACUGGCUUGGGCAGAGACUGGUGGGAUGGGGUUGGCGCUCCAACAGCCCCCCUUAAUUAUACAGUUAAAGGCCACUACAACUCCAGUCUCCAUAAAACAAUACCCCCUGUCACAUAAAGCUUAUAAGGCCUCACAUUACGAGGCUUCUAGAUCAAGGCAUCCUAGUCCCCUGCCGGUCGCCUUGGAAUACGCCUCUUCUGCCUGUUAAGAAACCCGGCACUGGAGAUUAUAGGCCAAUACAAGACUUGAGAAAGGUCAACAAGAGGAUAAAAGAUAUUCAUCCGACUGUUCCAAACCCUUACAAUUUGCUCAGUAACUGUUCACUGGAUGCAGAACAGGUUCAGUUUGGACCCGUAGUCGCCCUCAAUCCUGCCACCUUGCUUCCUCUACCAGAGGAGACAAAACAGCAUGACUGCCUACAAAUCCUCGCAGAAGUACAUGGAACCAGGCCGGACCUAUCGGACCAGCCUCUUCAGAAUGCUGACCACACAUGGUACACGGAUGACAACAGCUUCUUGGCAGAGGGAGAGCGAAAGGCUGGAGCUGCGGUCACUACGGAGGACAAAGUGAUUUGGGCGAAAGCCCUGCCUGCUGGUACCUCCGCACAACGGGCUGAACUCAUCGCCUUGACUCAGGCGCUCAAGAUGGCAAAAGGUAAGAGGCUAAAUGUAUAUACAGACAGCCGUUAUGCCUUUGCCACGGCACACAUCCACGGGGAGAUCUACCGGAGGCGGGGGCUGCUCACAUCUGAGGGUAAAGAUAUGGCUAAAAUUCUGGCCCUCUUAGAAGCCCUAUUCUUGCCCAAAAGACUGAGUACAUUGUCCAGGACACCAGAAAGGGCACAACCCAGAGGCACGAAGAAACCGGCUGGCCGAUGCCACGGCGCGAAAAGCGGCCAUGAGCAAACAAAUCUUGUCCUUAAAUAGCCCAGACCAACCCACGCCCCCACCAGUGGGACAAACCAGUUGGGUUUACGCCCAUGAGGACAUAGAGCUCCUAAAAAAAAAUGGGGGCCAUCUACCACCCUCAACUAAAACAGUGGGUCUACAAAGGACUUUUGAAUUGAUCUCCUUUUUACAUAAAUUAACCCAAUUGGGGUUUAAGAAGAUGAAAACCUUACUAGAUCGGGAAGAGAUAAAUCUGUGUUUUUUGAAUCGGGACAAAGCGAUACAAAAGGUGACUGAGAGUUGCAAAGUGUGCGCUCAGGUUAACCCGGGAAGGACCAGGAUUGGACAAGGAGUUCGUCCUAGGGGACACCGUCCCGACAUCCAUUGGGAAAUUGAUUUUACUGAAAUUAAACCAGGUAUAUAUGGAUACAAGUAUCUCCUAGUGUUUGUAGACACCUUCUCAGGAUGGGUCGAAGCCUUCCCCACAAAGCACGAGACUACAAAAAUCCUCCAAGAAGCUCCUCGAGGAAAUCUUUCCCAGGUAUGACAUGCCUCAAGCGUUGGGGUCAGACAACGGGCCCGCUUUCGUCUCCCAAGUAAGUCAGUUGGUGGCCAAAUUGCUGGGGAUUGAUUGGAAAUUACAUUGUGCCUAUAGACCCCAGAGUUCAGGUCAGGUAGAACGCAUGAAUAGAACAAUUAAGGAGACUUUCUCCAAACUUAUGCUUGCAACUGGCUCAAAGGAUUGGGUGGCCCUCCUUCCCCUAGUUCUAUAUCGGGCCCGGAAUACCCCGGGCCCCCAUGGUCUAACUUCUUUUGAAAUAAUAUAUAGAGCACCACCCCCAUUUGUCCAUUUCUUUGAUUCAAACAUUGCUGAUUUUGCUGACAGCCCUUCUCUGAGGGCCCAUUUACAGGCCCUACAGAUUGUACAGAGAGACGUCUGGAGACCUUUGGCCGCUGCUUACCAGGACAAGCUUGAACAUCCGGUGGUGCCACACCCGUUCCAGAUUAGAGACACCGUGUGGGUGCACAGACACCAGACCAAGAAUCUCGAGCCACGGUGGAAAGGACCCUACACCGUCCUCCUGACUACCCCGACCGCCCUAAAGGUAGACGGAGUCUCGGCUUAGAUCCACACACCACACGUCAAGGCAGUCCGGUCUGAGGAAUUGACUAAUCACAACACUACACCCCAGACAUGGAGAGUUCAGCGCACUCCAAACCCCUUAAAGUUAAAACUCCUACGUGGCUCCUCCUAGUCCUUUUGUGGCCUAGAGUCAGUGGGGGAAUAAGCCCCCACUAGACAGAAAUUUCUUGACCAAGUCGAGUGAAAGAUUUCACUCAAAGUUAGCAAAAAAAAAAAAAAAAUGGGGGAAUGAAAGACCCCAGCUUAGCAGCAGUAACGCCAUUUUACAAGGCUGUACUUAAGAUGACUGGUUCAGAGAAAGGUUAAAACACUGAGUACAAAACAGCUGCCAAGCAGGAUGUGUUUGGUUGAAGGCCUGGCAACAGGACGACUGCGGUUGAGCACCUGACAAUGAAAAAAGCCCCGGGAGAGGUCCCACACCCUGGUGGGGGGCCGAGUCAGUAGUUAUGUUCCAAGAAGGUAGCUAGGAAACUUGCCCCCGGGCUGAACCCUUGGGGGGCCGAGUCAGCCGUUAUGUUUCAGGAAGGUAGCUAGGAAACUUGCCCCCGGGCUAAACCCUUGCCAUAUUAGAAUCCACCAAUUAUAUCCCUGUAACCAUGCAUCUGCUUCUGUAUGCUUGCUUCUGCUCCCCAAAAUCCUAUAAAAGCCCAUCCUUGGUUCUGUGGGGCGCGCCAGUCCCCCGAGUGACUGAAGCGCCCGCAGGUGCCUGUGCCUGUGUAUCCCAACAAUAAACCAAAUCCUCUUGCUGAUUGCA
Rattus norvegicus (Norway rat) is the source of this 22739-nucleotide non-coding RNA. The record is from RefSeq and is a predicted model, not a curated record. NCBI's taxonomy places the organism in Eukaryota, Metazoa, Chordata, Mammalia, Rodentia, Muridae.